RNAcentral lists this ribosomal RNA (830 nucleotides) under Microbacterium sp. PCA2-21_Pa. RNAcentral describes it as "bacterial SSU rRNA". It matches the Rfam family "Bacterial small subunit ribosomal RNA", at positions 57 to 896 of the family's 1533-position model. The record is from RNAcentral. Lineage: Bacteria; Bacillati; Actinomycetota; Actinomycetes; Micrococcales; Microbacteriaceae.
GCAAGUCGAACGGUGAACACGGAGCUUGCUCUGUGGGAUCAGUGGCGAACGGGUGAGUAACACGUGAGCAACCUGCCCCUGACUCUGGGAUAAGCGCUGGAAACGGCGUCUAAUACUGGAUACGAACCAUGAAGGCAUCUUCAGUGGUUGGAAAGAUUUAUUGGUUGGGGAUGGGCUCGCGGCCUAUCAGCUUGUUGGUGAGGUAAUGGCUCACCAAGGCGUCGACGGGUAGCCGGCCUGAGAGGGUGACCGGCCACACUGGGACUGAGACACGGCCCAGACUCCUACGGGAGGCAGCAGUGGGGAAUAUUGCACAAUGGGCGCAAGCCUGAUGCAGCAACGCCGCGUGAGGGAUGACGGCCUUCGGGUUGUAAACCUCUUUUAGCAGGGAAGAAGCGAAAGUGACGGUACCUGCAGAAAAAGCGCCGGCUAACUACGUGCCAGCAGCCGCGGUAAUACGUAGGGCGCAAGCGUUAUCCGGAAUUAUUGGGCGUAAAGAGCUCGUAGGCGGUUUGUCGCGUCUGCUGUGAAAUCCGGAGGCUCAACCUCCGGCCUGCAGUGGGUACGGGCAGACUAGAGUGCGGUAGGGGAGAUUGGAAUUCCUGGUGUAGCGGUGGAAUGCGCAGAUAUCAGGAGGAACACCGAUGGCGAAGGCAGAUCUCUGGGCCGUAACUGACGCUGAGGAGCGAAAGGGUGGGGAGCAAACAGGCUUAGAUACCCUGGUAGUCCACCCCGUAAACGUUGGGAACUAGUUGUGGGGUCCAUUCCACGGAUUCCGUGACGCAGCUAACGCAUUAAGUUCCCCGCCUGGGGAGUACGGCCGCAGGCUA